This 491-nucleotide ribosomal RNA is filed under the name uncultured bacterium. RNAcentral's name for it is "partial 16S ribosomal RNA". It matches the Rfam family "Bacterial small subunit ribosomal RNA", at positions 29 to 505 of the family's 1533-position model. The record is from RNAcentral.
AGUGAACGCUGGCGGUAGGCCUAACACAUGCAAGUCGAACGGCAGCACAGUAAGAGCUUGCUCUUACGGGUGGCGAGUGGCGGACGGGUGAGGAAUACAUCGGAAUCUACUUUUUUCGUGGGGGAUAACGUAGGGAAACUUACGCUAAUACCGCAUACGACCUACGGGUGAAAGCAGGGGAUCUUCGGACCUUGCGCGAUUGAAUGAGCCGAUGUCGGAUUAGCUAGUUGGCGGGGUAAAGGCCCACCAAGGCGACGAUCCGUAGCUGGUCUGAGAGGAUGAUCAGCCACACUGGAACUGAGACACGGUCCAGACUCCUACGGGAGGCAGCAGUGGGGAAUAUUGGACAAUGGGCGCAAGCCUGAUCCAGCCAUACCGCGUGGGUGAAGAAGGCCUUCGGGUUGUAAAGCCCUUUUGUUGGGAAAGAAAAGCAGCAGGUUAAUACCCCGCUGUUCUGACGGUACCCAAAGAAUAAGCACCGGCUAACUUCG